This 427-nucleotide ribosomal RNA is filed under the name uncultured bacterium. RNAcentral's name for it is "partial 16S ribosomal RNA". It matches the Rfam family "Bacterial small subunit ribosomal RNA", at positions 355 to 774 of the family's 1533-position model. The record is from RNAcentral.
UGGGGAAUAUUGCACAAUGGGCGCAAGCCUGAUGCAGCCAUGCCGCGUGUGUGAAGAAGGCCUUCGGGUUGUAAAGCACUUUCAGCGAGGUGGAAGGGUAGUGUGUUAAUAGCACAUUGCAUUGACGUUACUCGCAGAAGAAGCACCGGCUAACUCCGUGCCAGCAGCCGCGGUAAUACGGAGGGUGCAAGCGUUAAUCGGAAUUACUGGGCGUAAAGCGCACGCAGGCGGUUUGUUAAGUCAGAUGUGAAAUCCCCGCGCUUAACGUGGGAACUGCAUUUGAAACUGGCAAGCUAGAGUCUUGUAGAGGGGGGUAGAAUUCCAGGUGUAGCGGUGAAAUGCGUAGAGAUCUGGAGGAAUACCGGUGGCGAAGGCGGCCCCCUGGACAAAGACUGACGCUCAGGUGCGAAAGCGUGGGGAGCAAACA